GGCGGACGUAGCCAAGUGGAUUAAGGG
RNAcentral lists this transfer RNA (27 nucleotides) under Neoorthocaulis attenuatus. RNAcentral describes it as "partial tRNA-His". The record is from RNAcentral. Lineage: Eukaryota; Viridiplantae; Streptophyta; Jungermanniopsida; Jungermanniales; Anastrophyllaceae.